Molecule: transfer RNA, 78 nt
Filed under: Paenibacillus sp. URB8-2
Lineage: Bacteria; Bacillati; Bacillota; Bacilli; Caryophanales; Paenibacillaceae
Description: tRNA-Ser
Source: RNAcentral
GUCUGAAUGAGGCUCAUGAGGAAGGACGGCUGUCUACUGUACAGCUUCCUUCUCCGUUCCGAUACCGGGAUCAGGCGC